CACACCGCAAAUAAACAAAAGAAUCGCAUGGGAUUAGCUGCUACUUCCUUUGCCUUGUGCAUGCUGGGGGUGGAAAGAGCAUACAGCAAAAACGCUGGACUUCAAGAGACAAUCCUGAACGGGUGGCAUGCCGGUGCCCAUCUCUCUGCUGUGUGAUGGGUGAGGUUUUGGGCACGGGCACGGUGCCCGCAGCCUGUGUCCCCCUCUGGUCGCGGUGGCACCAGAGACCAGCGUGGGCAGAUGCCACUCCAGCUGACCACGCACUGAAACCAAAAAGCAAAGGCGGUUUGGAGCCAGCCUGCGCAGGGAGGUGCCAUGUGCGGCAGAGGUUUAACAGAAUUUGAAAGCAGCCACCGCCACGACCUGGACCAAUGAUCUGGGCAGAGCGGCGGGGGAGUUUCGGCUUGGCGUCUCUGGCGCCCGUUACGAAUGCCAGCCUCGCUCCCGGCCCACGUGGAGCCCACGCUCGCUCCCGGUGCCUGCUCCGCUGGCCGGCCAGGGGGGAAGGAGGCGGGAGAGCAGGACGAGUGUUCUCCAGACUGCGAUGCAUCCACACGUGCCACCCCCUCCUGCUCCCCGUGCCUGUCAGUGUUGCCAUUUCACCCCUAUAAAUGAAAUUUCACCUUUUUGUGAUAACUCACAGUCAAAAUGGCCCAAAAUUAUGAUGUGGAGGGGGCAGGUGGAGGGGGGAGGCUCUGCCCCACCUGGGCCGGGAUGCAGGAGCAAUGCUCGCAGGGUGACUUCUCCCCGCAGGUAGGAUCCUUCCCACCUGCUGGGUCCGCUGACAUCACAGCCCUGCUUUUUGGGGUGAUAUCCAGGUGUUGCAGAGCAUGGUGCGGCACGAGCAGAACAGUGGGGGCAGAAGGCACCGUGCUUGGAUGCCUCCCACCUCAGCAGGUCCCGGGUUCACUUUGGGGCUCUCCAUCCCUUGAGUUGCAGCCAAGCUGGCCACGGAACGGCACGGCACUUCCAGCGCAAGGCUCCACCGGCCACAUAUUGAAAGCAUUAGGAGGGAGGGAUCUGGUUCUGCUCCCUCUCCCUUUCCUCCCUCUCUCGGUGAUGCAGUGGGCGCUGAGAACGGAGCCGCUUGGGCAGCAAGUGCACGUUCCCACAGCCCCUCGCAGCUGGCGAAAACCAAACUCUCCCAGCGAGCGCGGCUCCUUGGGCUGAUAUCCGAGAGCAAAUGCAAGUGUGUCCAAAAACAUCAAGCCCUACCCAAUUAACCCUGUUCUCCUCUGCGCAUCGCCACCGUGGCCAGGAGCAUCUCGGCUGCAGCUCCGUUUGGGUAAGGGCUGCUGCCUGGUGCCGGCCCCCGGUUUUGAAGCAGGGUGGCUCUGAGCAGGGCUGGGGUUCGCUGAUUCAGACAGCCCCUGCUUUGCAACCCCUCCGCCACCGCGUGACUAAUUCCUGGACUCACUCUGAAUCAGAGAGUAAAAACAUGCCGGUAAGGCAUUUUCGGGUCGGUUUAUUUUCUUGAAACAAAUAAGAACCGUACCCCUCGCUGUGCCCAAAUUAUGCAAAACAGGCAUCAGCGGCAAGAAAUGGGGCAGGCGUGGGGGGGAAACGUAACGGCAGCUGGGGGUGGCCCGGUUUUCGGGAGAAGCCCCCGGGAGCAGGGUGGGUGAGGGCAGUGGUGCUGUGCUGCAGCCACCACGUGCCCGUGGCUGCGCUGGGUUUCCCUGCCCUGUGGUUCCCGCGCCGUGCUGGAGGUAGCACGUGUUUGGGAUGUGUUUUUUUCUUUCUUUUCCCUUCUCUUGCUUUUUAAAGAAAUUAAUUUAUCCCCACAAAGCCUGAUGUCAGCAACUUUUACUCCCUUCCACGCCUGACAUUUAAUAGGUCUUGUUUUGAAUGGCAGAAAAUAUGGCUUAGUAGUUAAAUAAGGCAGGAGAGGAAGAGAGGGAACGGCAUCGCCAAGAGCAGUAAGAUCAGCCAAACCGCAGCGAAGCGCGGAGCUGCUCUUCCCGCCCCUGCUGGGAGCUGCUUGCGAUCGGGAGCCUCACUGCGGAGCUGCCGGCCCUGCCGCCCCGGGGACGCUCUCUGGCCCCGCCGUUUGCUUGCCCGGCUCCCACCCAGGGGUUUUGCUGCAAACCCUUGGAAACAAGACCUUUCCCAGGGCUUAGCCAAGCCCUGCGUGGCCUCCGCCUUCACCCCACAUGGGAGCUUUCCCACUAGAUUUGAAAACCAGAAGGCGUUCACCCUAUUCCCAUCCCCAUUUCUGCCUUUAGGUCCCAGAAGGGCAGUCCCAGCCUGCAGUUUUCCAUAGCAAAGGCCCUUUCUGAUGAGAAAAAGCCCCAGUGUUUCCCAAUGGGUGUAGCUGGCUGCCAGGGCGAUGACCAGGGGCCGUGGGAAAGCCUCCCCAUCCCUCUCCUCCCUAUAAACCCCGCACGCUCCCGGCCCCAUCCGCAGCCAGGAGCUGCAGCGAGGGAGCCCAGCAGGACGUGGUGCAGGAGCUUCAGAAAGGUGGCUGCGGGCCCCUGCUGGAACAGAAGGCGCCUGGGAGGCUUUCCAAGGAGCGCAGCGGGGAUGCCGGUGGGGAUGCCAGAGGUGCAGCGGUUCUUUCCCCAGAUGAGCGGGUUGGAUGCUCAGCUGGGAACCACUGCAGGAGCGCAGCUGAAGGAAACCCUCCGCCAUGCAGCGGGUCACAGAACACGCUCAGUUCUGAGGCAUCCAGCAAGAAAAGGAAAACGAUUAUUUUUGCCAUGCUAAGAAGAAAGCCACAAUUGGAGAAACUGCACUUUGAGCAAACUUGUGGACUUUUCAUCUCCCCAACGGGACUGGAAGGCUCUUCACUUCAAUAUUAUGUUCCAGCACUUCAGCAGAAAAUAAACCAGGCGCAAGAAAACGGCGCUGACUAAUAAAAGAAAAAAAAGAGCUAAUACAUCAA
Molecule: RNA transcript, 2884 nt
Organism: Cygnus atratus (black swan)
Lineage: Eukaryota; Metazoa; Chordata; Aves; Anseriformes; Anatidae
Exons: 6
Source: RefSeq, a predicted model, not a curated record